This 301-nucleotide ribosomal RNA is filed under the name uncultured bacterium. Its description in RNAcentral is "partial 16S ribosomal RNA". It matches the Rfam family "Bacterial small subunit ribosomal RNA", at positions 509 to 807 of the family's 1533-position model. The record is from RNAcentral.
CAGUCGCCGCGGGAAUACGGAGGGAGCUAGCGUUGUUCGGAAUUACUGGGCGUAAAGCGCACGUAGGCGGAUAUUUAAGUCAGGGGUGAAAUCCCGCAGCUUAACUGCGGAACUGCCUUUGAUACUGGGUAUCUUGAGUAUGGAAGAGGUUAGUGGAAUUGCGAGUGUAGAGGUGAAAUUCGUAGAUAUUCGCAGGAACACCAGUGGCGAAGGCGGCUAACUGGUCCAUAACUGACGCUGAGGUGCGAAAGCGUGGGGAGCAAACAGGAUUAGAUACCCCCGUAGUCCCUGUCUCUUAUAC